This 561-nucleotide long non-coding RNA is filed under the name Mus musculus (house mouse). Its description in RNAcentral is "long non-coding RNA chr17:17394335-17394896". Lineage: Eukaryota; Metazoa; Chordata; Mammalia; Rodentia; Muridae. The record is from RNAcentral.
AGAGAGAGAGAGAGAGAGAAUGCAUGACUCCAGGAUGUGUUCCUACCUCAGUGUUAACAAGUCUCUAGAACAACACUCUGGUGUGAUUCAUCCCUCAAGCGCAUUCUAAUUCAGUCAGUGGAAGUGAGUGUAAGUAUACAAGCACUGUCCCUUCAGCUUCCCUGAGCAGAUCUCGAAUAGAAGAUCGUCUUCAGCAAGAAGUGACCACCAGAUGGCAGUGUUUGCCAGCAGUGACAUGAUAAAAACACCAGCUUCCCUUUUACCUUAGCAAAAUUCAUUCUGACUAUUUGUAACUGAUCACUAUCUAAGCGCAUUUAAAUGUUUGGAUAUAUGAAUAUGUCAAGUGCAGUUUCUUUGAAAAUUAGACUGAUUUUUGGAAGUGUUGAUAUAGCCCUGUUUUAAAAUGUAGUUUAAGCUCAGAUACUCAUUUUUUAUACUCUGCUAAAAGUGUUUCUAUAACAUAAACUGAUGUUGAAGAUAGUUUAAUAAGACCACAGAAUGUUUAUUUUGUAAUACGUUUUUCUUAUGUCCAAAGCAGAUUGGGAAUAAAAGUGUUUGACC